Molecule: ribosomal RNA, 872 nt
Rfam family: 5.8S ribosomal RNA (bases 449-602)
AUAAAAGUUCGAGGACCGAAAAGAAGGUCCCGUGGUCGGUCUGCUGCUGUUUUAGCGGCUUGCACCAGAGGGAUGCCUCCGCUCCAAUCGAUCGAGGGAUGUUUCGCGGCCUGUGGCGGUCUGGGUGGAGUAGUCCAACAGUGCCUUAUUUGUAGAUGCGUGCCGUGUGUGGUGUUUUGAUGCGAAGUGACCGUUGAGUGUGUCCCAUAGUAGUAGAGAACCCGCCGCUGCAGGGUCUGCGGCCUCCCACAGACCGAGAGAGCGUCCUUUGAGGAGGAUGGUGCCGUCGUGGUUGUAGCUGGCCUUGUGCUAAGUGUGCCACGGCGAGACUCCCCCCACUCCCUUGUUCAUGAGCACCUCGUGUUUCCUCGGCGAGUUCGCCCGCCUGAGGACCCUCGGAAACACCCCUUUUGCAGUUGCAGUUUUCUGCCUGAAUCGAACCCUUCAAAACUUUCAACAACGGAUCUCUUGGCUCUGGCAUCGAUGAAGAACGCAGCGAAAUGCGAUAAGUAGUGUGAAUUGCAGAAUUCAGUGAAUCAUCGAAUCUUUGAACGCACAUUGCGCCCACUGGUACUCCUCUGGGCAUGCCUGUUCGAGCGUCAUCUCGACCCUGUCAAGCAAGGCUUGGUGUUGGGCGCUUGCCCCCAUGAAACUAACUAACCUCUCGGAGCUUCUCCAGAGGCCUAGUAGGGGCUCGCCUUAAAAUUAUUGGCGGCGGACUGUCGGCUCGGAGCGCAGCAGAUGGCGCGCUUUAAGGCUCGUCAGUCCCGCAAGCCAGGAGCAAACCCCUCCACAGUUUGACCUCGGAUCAGGUAGGGAUACCCGCUGAACUUAGCAUUAAUAGGGGGGGGGAGAGAAAAAAGGGGACGCAA